UUAUUGGGCGUAAGAGCUCGUAGGCGGUUUGUCGCGUCUGCUGUGAAAUCCCGAGGCUCAACCUCGGGCUUGCAGUGGGUACGGGCAGACUAGAGUGCGGUAGGGGAGAUUGGAAUUCCUGGUGUAGCGGUGGAAUGCGCAGAUAUCAGGAGGAACACCGAUGGCGAAGGCAGAUCUCUGGGCCGUAACUGACGCUGAGGAGCGAAAGCAUGGGGAGCGAACAGGAUUAGAUACCCUGGUAGUCCAUGCCGUAAACGUUGGGCGCUAGAUGUAGGGACCUUUCCACGGUUUCUGUGUCGUAGCUAACGCAUUAAGCGCCCCGCCUGGGGAGUACGGCCGCAAGGCUAAAACUCAAAGGAAUUGACGGGGGCCCGCACAAGCGGCGGAGCAUGCGGAUUAAUUCGAUGCAACGCGAAGAACCUUACCAAGGCUUGACAUACACCGGAAACGGCCAGAGAUGGUCGCCCCCUUGUGGUCGGUGUACAGGUGGUGCAUGGUUGUCGUCAGCUCGUGUCGUGAGAUGUUGGGUUAAGUCCCGCAACGAGCGCAACCCUCGUUCUAUGUUGCCAGCGGGUUAUGCCGGGGACUCAUAGGAGACUGCCGGGGUCAACUCGGAGGAAGGUGGGGAUGACGUCAAAUCAUCAUGCCCCUUAUGUCUUGGGCUUCACGCAUGCUACAAUGGCCGGUACAAAGGGCUGCGAUACCGUAAGGUGGAGCGAAUCCCAAAAAGCCGGUCUCAGUUCGGAUUGAGGUCUGCAACUCGACCUCAUGAAGUCGGAGUCGCUAGUAAUCGCAGAUCAGCAACGCUGCGGUGAAUACGUUCCCGGGCCUUGUACACACCGCCCGUCAAGUCAUGAAAGUCGGUAACACCCGAAGCCGGUGGCCUAACCCUUGUGGAAUGAGCCGUCGAAUGUGGGAUCGGUG
Molecule: ribosomal RNA, 924 nt
Filed under: Curtobacterium sp.
Lineage: Bacteria; Bacillati; Actinomycetota; Actinomycetes; Micrococcales; Microbacteriaceae
Description: bacterial SSU rRNA
Rfam family: Bacterial small subunit ribosomal RNA
Source: RNAcentral